This 514-nucleotide ribosomal RNA is filed under the name uncultured bacterium. RNAcentral describes it as "bacterial SSU rRNA". It matches the Rfam family "Bacterial small subunit ribosomal RNA", at positions 15 to 518 of the family's 1533-position model. The record is from RNAcentral.
GAUUAUGGCUCAGGAUGAACGCUAGCGACAGGCUAACACAUGCAAGUCGAGGGGCAGCACGGGAGUAGGCAAUACAACUGGUGGCGACCGGCGCACGGGUGAGUAACGCGUAUGCAACCUACCUAUCAGAGGGGAAUAACCCGGCGAAAGUCGGACUAAUACCGCAUAAAACAGGGGCACCGCAUGGUGAUAUUUGUUAAAGAAAUUCGCUGAUAGAUGGGCAUGCGUUCCAUUAGGUAGUUGGUGAGGUAACGGCUCACCAAGCCGACGAUGGAUAGGGGAACUGAGAGGUUGGUCCCCCACACUGGUACUGAGACACGGACCAGACUCCUACGGGAGGCAGCAGUGAGGAAUAUUGGUCAAUGGGCGGGAGCCUGAACCAGCCAAGUCGCGUGAAGGAAAAGAAGGAUCUAUGGUUCGUAAACUUCUUUUGCAGGGGAAUAAAGUGCAGGACGUGUCCUGUUUUGUAUGUACCCUGAGAAUAAGGAUCGGCUAACUCCGUGCCAGCAGCUGC